UACACAUCCUCCACUUCCCGUUCGACUUUUUCACCAUAACCACAUUAGAUAACCAUGUGGUAUACUUAGCUUCUCGAAUAAAACCUGCUUCUAACAAUUUACUAACUUCGUCAUUCACCGCUCUUCUCUUCUCCUCACCCAAUCUUCUCUUCUUCUGGGACACCGGCCGGGCAUCCUUAAAGAGUGAAAGUUUAUGAGAUAU
Molecule: long non-coding RNA, 202 nt
Filed under: Vigna radiata
Lineage: Eukaryota; Viridiplantae; Streptophyta; Magnoliopsida; Fabales; Fabaceae
Description: long non-coding RNA (VRAD_LNC017889)
Source: RNAcentral